AUUGAACGCUAGCGGGAUGCCUUACACAUGCAAGUCGAACGGAUUGGCGAACGGGUGAGUAAUGUAUCGGAACGUGCCCAGUAGCGGGGGAUAACUACGCCAACGCGUAGCUAUUACCGAAUCCUAUUGCCGCGGCCGAUAGCGGAUUAGCUAGUGGGUGGGGUAACGGCCAACCAAGGCGACGACCCGUAGCUGGUUUGAGAGGACGACCAGCCACACUGGGACUGAGACACGGCCCAGACUCCUACGGGAGGCAGCAGUGGGGAAUUUUGGACAAUGGGGGAAACCCUGAUGCAGCCAUCCCGCGUGUGCGAUGAAGGCCUUCGGGUUGUAAAGCACUUUUGGCAGGAAAGCGGUACCUGCAGAAGAAGCACCGGCUAACUACGUGCCAGCAGCCGCGGUAAUUC
RNAcentral lists this ribosomal RNA (407 nucleotides) under uncultured bacterium. RNAcentral's name for it is "partial 16S ribosomal RNA". It matches the Rfam family "Bacterial small subunit ribosomal RNA", at positions 30 to 526 of the family's 1533-position model. The record is from RNAcentral.